Non-coding RNA from Lonchura striata (white-rumped munia), 659 nucleotides. The record is from RefSeq and is a predicted model, not a curated record. Lineage: Eukaryota; Metazoa; Chordata; Aves; Passeriformes; Estrildidae.
GGAGAGAUCAGUUCAAAUCAGGAGGAAGACCCAAAGCAUCCAUGGGUUUCAGAGCAUCUCAUAAGAUUUGAAAGGCAAAAGCAAGGAGUGAAACUGAAUGUGAAAAAUGAAAACUGCCCACCUGGUGAAGAGAAGGGAAGGAGGAAAUCAGAAGGGCAUAUAAAUCUAAAAGUCUCGGCAUUACUUCAGAGAUGCUGCAUACUCAGUUCUGCACUUUGUGGGGGCUACAGAACACCAAUUCUCUACAAACCACCAGCUUGCAGGAAGAUAACUAAGUAUACUCAAUCCAUCUUUUCUAUAAGACCAGCUGCAGAGGGAAGUGAAUGAGCAGCUUUGGUGAAUGCCUGGCACCCAGCCAGCAUCAACCCACUACAUCAACCUCAGAGGACUGCCUUCUGAUUUCCAUGUCAUAUGACCUUUGGAAAUUAUUCCUCAAAUUUCUUGAGGAAAAAGGACAAAACAAAAUAGGAUUUGGUAACUUUUACUCUGUUCUUUUGCUGCUCAGGUUCUAGUUAGUACCUGAUGUUUGUGGGUUUUUCAGCACUGUAUCAGAGGUCUGAUUCUCCUUUUUGAGCAUUUGGCAGAUCCCUAGAUCCAAAAAACAAAUUCUAAGCGCAUUUCUUUCUACAUCCCAAAAUAAACAUGAUGCAAUGCUCUAA